Molecule: ribosomal RNA, 461 nt
Filed under: uncultured bacterium
Lineage: Bacteria
Description: partial 16S ribosomal RNA
Rfam family: Bacterial small subunit ribosomal RNA
Source: RNAcentral
CCUACGGGUGGCUGCAGUGAGGAAUAUUGGUCAAUGGGCGGAAGCCUGAACCAGCCAAGUCGCGUGAGGGAAUAAGGCCCUACGGGUCGUAAACCUCUUUUGCCGGGGAGCAAGGGCGGGGACGUGUCCCGGCCCGGAGAGUACCCGGAGAAAAAGCAUCGGCUAACUCCGUGCCAGCAGCCGCGGUAAUACGGAGGAUGCGAGCGUUAUCCGGAUUUAUUGGGUUUAAAGGGUGCGUAGGUGGUUAAUUAAGUCAGCGGUGAAAGUUUGUGGCUCAACCAUAAAAUUGCCGUUGAAACUGGUUGACUUGAGUAUAUUUGAGGUAGGCGGAAUGCGUGGUGUAGCGGUGAAAUGCAUAGAUAUCACGCAGAACUCCGAUUGCGAAGGCAGCUUACUAAACUAUAACUGACACUGAAGCACGAAAGCGUGGGGAUCAAACAGGAUUAGAUACCCCAGUAGUC